CUUUUCUUUAUGCAGUGUUCAACUAUUCUUCUGUGCCAUUCUUCUUUAGAAGUGAGAGUUGCUUGAAGCCUCUUGGGGAGAUUCUCCCAUGGACAUUCCUCCUUUAUUGCUUUAAAAAUAAGCUNNNCACAGGAAUCCGUUGCAUAGUGGCAAUUCACUUGAUCCGCUCCCGCAACGCCGCUGUCGCCACUUCCACCGGUCGGUGCCACUGAAGGUUGCUAGAGAGGUAAGCCUNCAGUGGCAAGCAAACGUGUCACUAUUUUCCGAUCUGGUCUCCCUCUCUUACGGCUUUGUCGGUGAUCGGAACGAUUAUAAGUGUUAAGAGAAGCUUCAACUUCUCUCUUUGUUGCCGUUUUCUCCCUCUUAAGCUAAAGCGUCCGCUGU
RNAcentral lists this unclassified non-coding RNA (384 nucleotides) under Hevea brasiliensis (rubber tree). The record is from RNAcentral. Lineage: Eukaryota; Viridiplantae; Streptophyta; Magnoliopsida; Malpighiales; Euphorbiaceae.